AGAUUGGAAUUCCUGGUGUAGCGGUGGAAUGCGCAGAUAUCAGGAGGAACACCGAUGGCGAAGGCAGAUCUCUGGGCCGUAACUGACGCUGAGGAGCGAAAGGGUGGGGAGCAAACAGGCUUAGAUACCCUGGUAGUCCACCCCGUAAACGUUGGGAACUAGUUGUGGGGUCCUUUCCACGGAUUCCGUGACGCAGCUAACGCAUUAAGUUCCCCGCCUGGGGAGUACGGCCGCAAGGCUAAAACUCAAAGGAAUUGACGGGGACCCGCACAAGCGGCGGAGCAUGCGGAUUAAUUCGAUGCAACGCGAAGAACCUUACCAAGGCUUGACAUAUACGAGAACGGGCCAGAAAUGGUCAACUCUUUGGACACUCGUAAACAGGUGGUGCAUGGUUGUCGUCAGCUCGUGUCGUGAGAUGUUGGGUUAAGUCCCGCAACGAGCGCAACCCUCGUUCUAUGUUGCCAGCACGUAAUGGUGGGAACUCAUGGGAUACUGCCGGGGUCAACUCGGAGGAAGGUGGGGAUGACGUCAAAUCAUCAUGCCCCUUAUGUCUUGGGCUUCACGCAUGCUACAAUGGCCGGUACAAAGGGCAGCAAUACCGCGAGGUGGAGCGAAUCCCAAAAAGCCGGUCCCAGUUCGGAUUGAGGUCUGCAACUCGACCUCAUGAAGUCGGAGUCGCUAGUAAUCGCAGAUCAGCAACGCUGCGGUGAAUACGUUCCCGGGUCUUGUACACACCGCCCUGUCAAGUCAUGAAAGUCGGUAUACUACCUGAAGCCGGUAGGCCCAUCACACUGAUCGCAAGGAGCGGUUUAGAUAAGAGGGUGAACCAC
This 830-nucleotide ribosomal RNA is filed under the name Microbacterium sp. WS_25Q. Its description in RNAcentral is "bacterial SSU rRNA". It matches the Rfam family "Bacterial small subunit ribosomal RNA", at positions 658 to 1533 of the family's 1533-position model. Lineage: Bacteria; Bacillati; Actinomycetota; Actinomycetes; Micrococcales; Microbacteriaceae. The record is from RNAcentral.